UACAGAGGUCUCAAGCGUUGUCCGGAAUUAUUGGGCGUAAAGAGCUCGUAGGCGGCUUGUCACGUCGGGUGUGAAAGCCCGGGGCUUAACCCCGGGUCUGCAUUCGAUACGGGCUAGCUAGAGUGUGGUAGGGGAGAUCGGAAUUCCUGGUGUAGCGGUGAAAUGCGCAGAUAUCAGGAGGAACACCGGUGGCGAAGGCGGAUCUCUGGGCCAUUACUGACGCUGAGGAGCGAAAGCGUGGGGAGCGAACAGG
This 253-nucleotide ribosomal RNA is filed under the name uncultured bacterium. RNAcentral's name for it is "partial 16S ribosomal RNA". It matches the Rfam family "Bacterial small subunit ribosomal RNA", at positions 524 to 776 of the family's 1533-position model. The record is from RNAcentral.